GAUGAACGCUGGCGGCGUGCCUAAUACAUGCAAGUCGAGCGAACAGACGAGGAGCUUGCUCCUCUGACGUUAGCGGCGGACGGGUGAGUAACACGUGGAUAACCUACCUAUAAGACUGGGAUAACUUCGGGACACCGGAGCUAAUACCGGAUAAUAUAUUGAACCGCAUGGUUCAAUAGUGAAAGACGGUUUUGCUGUCACUUAUAGAUGGAUCCGCGCCGCAUUAGCUAGUUGGUAAGGUAACGGCUUACCAAGGCAACGAUGCGUAGCCGACCUGAGAGAGUGAUCGGCCACACUGGAGCUGGACCACGGUCCAGGCUCCUGCGAGAGGCAGCAGUAGGGAAUCGGCCGCAGUGGGCGAAAGCCUGACGGAACAGCGCCGCGUGAGUGAUAGAGGUCUUCGGAUCGUAAAACUCUGUUAUUAGGGAAGAACAGAUGUGUAAGUAACUAUGCACGUCUUGACGGUACCUAAUCAGAAAGCCACGGCUAACUACGUG
Molecule: ribosomal RNA, 497 nt
Filed under: uncultured bacterium
Lineage: Bacteria
Description: partial 16S ribosomal RNA
Rfam family: Bacterial small subunit ribosomal RNA
Source: RNAcentral